GACGGAGGGUGCUAGGGUUGUUCGGAAUCACUGGGCGUAAAGCGCGUGUAGGCGGUUCGAUAAGUCGAAUGUGAAAGCCCGAGGCUCAACCCCGGAAGUGCAUUCGAAACUGUCGGGCUUGAGUACGGGAGAGGGGAGUGGAAUUCCUGGUGUAGAGGUGAAAUUCGUAGAUAUCAGGAGGAACACCGGUGGCGAAGGCGGCUUCCUGGACCGAAACUGACGCUGAGACGCGCAAGCGUGGGGAUCAAACAGG
RNAcentral lists this ribosomal RNA (253 nucleotides) under uncultured bacterium. RNAcentral's name for it is "partial 16S ribosomal RNA". It matches the Rfam family "Bacterial small subunit ribosomal RNA", at positions 524 to 776 of the family's 1533-position model. The record is from RNAcentral.